RNAcentral lists this non-coding RNA (134 nucleotides) under Sporobacter termitidis. RNAcentral's name for it is "MoCo sequence". It matches the Rfam family "Molybdenum/Tungsten riboswitch aptamer (Moco RNA motif)". RNAcentral also lists the same sequence under 1 other name. The record is from RNAcentral. Lineage: Bacteria; Bacillati; Bacillota; Clostridia; Eubacteriales; Oscillospiraceae.
UGCAUAUUUUGUUUCCGCGCCAAAUUGAUCUAAAGGCUUCCGCCCAUGACGUUUGGCCUGAGCCGCAGGCUCGCGGGGUAUGGCUGGAAACGGCCCUGCCUUCUGUUUUGAGAAGGGGACGAACCGACACAUGG